This 392-nucleotide ribosomal RNA is filed under the name uncultured bacterium. Its description in RNAcentral is "bacterial SSU rRNA". It matches the Rfam family "Bacterial small subunit ribosomal RNA", at positions 28 to 414 of the family's 1533-position model. The record is from RNAcentral.
GACGAACGCUGGCGGCGUGCUUAACACAUGCAAGUGGAGCGACGAACCGGGCUUCGGCCCGGGGCAAAGCCGCGAACGGGUGAGUAACACGUGGGUAACCUGCCCCGAUGACCGGGACAACCCGAGGAAACUCGGGCUAAUACCGGAUGUGCCCGCCCCACACCAGUGGGACGGGCAAAGGUAGCUUCGGCCUCCGCAUCGGGAUGGGCCCGCGGCGCAUUAGCUUGUUGGUGAGGUAACGGCUCACCAAGGCGACGAUGCGUAGCUGGUCUGAGAGGACGAUCAGCCACACUGGGACUGAGACACGGCCCAGACUCCUACGGGAGGCAGCAGUGGGGAAUCUUGCGCAAUGCGCGAAAGCGUGACGCAGCAACGCCGCGUGGGGAAGAAGG